AUGGCGGCGUCGACUUCGCAGCCUUUUACAUUGACCGACCUCCCGCCGGACCUCUUAGGCCUGGUCAUCGCUCUCCUCCCGCUCCCCGCCGACCGUGCCCGCUUCCGCGCCGUCUGCCGCUCGUGGCGCUCUGCCAUGCACGACCACGUCGAUACGCCGCAGCUACCGUGGAUCGUCCACUCAGAUGGCACCUUUGUCACCCUUCCCAACUAUUACCUCCACAGAUGGUCCCCCUUCCCCGAAAACACCAAGCUCAUAGGCGCCAGCGGCAGCUGGCUCGCCCUCGUCUGCCACGCCGACGGCGACGCCAAUGGUGGUCCGCGGAGCUACAUGUUGCAUAACCCUUUCUCCAACACAACAGUGCCCCUCCCCGGGUUGGACUCCGUCAUCGGCAGGGUUCCUGAUGAGUUCAAGGUCAGAAAGCUGCUUAUGAGCUCCACCCAAGAUGAUCUUGUUGCCGUGACCACUAACAUGAGGGAUCGCCGGAUUAUAUUGUGCCGCCCUGGGAAAUCCGGCACAUGGUUGCCCAAGCGCCGAGCGUUACCAUUUGCUCGUAUUUGUGACAUUGCGUUCCUUGAGGGCAAUCUCUAUGGGGUCACCUCGGAUGAACAACUUAUCGAGUUAGAAAUUGGUCAGAGAGAAGAUGGAUGUCCAAUGGUAAGAAGUGCUAAAUAUGUUAUCAAACACUUCCUAGCUCACGACGAGGGGGACGAGCAGGAGGACAAUGAAGACGAAUCAGAAGUGUCGGGCAGUGAGGAUGAUGAAGUGGUGGAGCCGAGCGAGGCAUCGAGUCUUGGGGGUGAAGAAGCAUCGGAGUACAAAGAGACAUCGAGUCUUGGGGGUGAAGAAGCAUCGGAGUACAAAGAGACAUCGAGUCUUGGGGGUGAAGAAGCAUCGGAGUACAAAGAGACAUUGAGUGAUGAUGAUGAUGAUGAUGAUGAUGAUGAUGAUGAUAUGGAAAGCAGCGAGACAUCAAGUAUCGAGGAUGAUGAUGAUGAUGAUGAUGAUGAUGAUGAUGAUAUGGAAAGCAGCGAGACAUCAAGUAUCGAGGAUGAUGAUGAAGAUACGGAAAGCACGAGCGACAAGGAAUCCGACGAUGACAAUGAAGUAGAAAACAAUCUGGAGGACGUAGAUCUGGACGGAUAUUGCUCGAAUCCCGAUGACGUCGAGGAGAACGAAUUCAUGGAUUACAUCAUAACCGUAAGAUAUCUCCUUGAGUCAGGUGGCAAGCUACUCAUGAUAAGGCGCCGACGUUUUAUACCAAACCAUUCCACGAGGCUCGGUCGCGAGUUCAUAACCGAUAGCGAGGUCGAUGAUGAUUCUGACGUCGACAUCCUAGAGGCAGAUCUGCACAUGGGCUCGUGGGUGCAGGCUGUUACAACAUGCACGCUCUUCAUAGGUGAUGACUUCUCAAAAUCGAUUCAUGGUUGUGAGGAGGCAUCUGAAGAAUUCGGCUACUACUUCCUUGAUGAACACGACGUCACCAUCACGAGGGCCACAACCUUCCCGGAGUUCCUAGAUUGGAAAUCGGUGUGGUUUUCUCCUCCAGAUAUAGUGGUUUAA
Molecule: ribosomal RNA, 1563 nt
Filed under: Triticum aestivum (bread wheat)
Lineage: Eukaryota; Viridiplantae; Streptophyta; Magnoliopsida; Poales; Poaceae
Description: partial small subunit ribosomal RNA
Source: RNAcentral